UAGACGACGCUGGCGGCAGGCCUAACACAUGCAAGUCGUACGAGAAGGUUCCUUCGGGAACUGGAGAGUGGCGCACGGGUGAGUAACGCGUGGGGACCUACCUCUUAGUGGGGGAUAACGGUUGGAAACGACCGCUAAUACCGCAUACGCCCUUUUGGGGAAAGAUUUAUCGCUAAGAGAUGGACCCGCGUUGGAUUAGCUAGUUGGCGAGGUAACGGCUCACCAAGGCAUCGAUCCAUAGCUGGUUUGAGAGGAUGAUCAGCCACACUGGGACUGAGACACGGCCCAGACUCCUACGGGAGGCAGCAGUGGGGAAUAUUGGACAAUGGGGGCAACCCUGAUCCAGCCAUGCCGCGUGAGUGAAGAAGGCCUUCGGGUUGUAAAGCUCUUUCAGAUGCGAAGAUGAUGACGGUAACAUCAGAAGAAGCCCCGGCUAAUUUCGUGCCAGCCGCCGGUAAUUCAAGCCGAAU
This 470-nucleotide ribosomal RNA is filed under the name bacterium enrichment culture clone NKeNA3. RNAcentral's name for it is "bacterial SSU rRNA". It matches the Rfam family "Bacterial small subunit ribosomal RNA", at positions 33 to 535 of the family's 1533-position model. The record is from RNAcentral.